RNAcentral lists this ribosomal RNA (368 nucleotides) under uncultured organism. Its description in RNAcentral is "partial 16S ribosomal RNA". It matches the Rfam family "Bacterial small subunit ribosomal RNA", at positions 527 to 896 of the family's 1533-position model. The record is from RNAcentral.
GGAGGGUGCAAGCGUUAUCCGGAAUCAUUGGGUUUAAAGGGUCCGCAGGCGGGCAUAUAAGUCAGUGGUGAAAGUCUGUGGCUUAACCAUAGAAUUGCCAUUGAUACUGUACGUCUUGAAUUAUUGUGAAGUGGUUAGAAUAUGUAGUGUAGCGGUGAAAUGCUUAGAGAUUACAUAGAAUACCGAUUGCGAAGGCAGAUCACUAACAAUAUAUUGACGCUGAUGGACGAAAGCGUAGGUAGCGAACAGGAUUAGAUACCCUGGUAGUCUACGCCCGUAAACGAUGGAUACUAGUUGUUUGGUUUUCGGACUGAGUGACUAAGCGAAAGUGAUAAGUAUCCCCACCUGGGAGUACGUUCGCAAGAAUG